GAUCUUCUCCUUCAUGGGAGAUGAUUGAAAGAUGGUUUCGGCUAGAUCACUUACAGAUGGGCCCGCGGUGCAUUAGCUAGUUGGUGAGGUAACGGCUCAAAUCCAAGGCAACGAUGCAUAGCCGACCUGAGAGGGUGAUCGGCCACACUGGGACUGAGACACGGCCCAGACUCCUACGGGAGGCAGCAGUAGGGAAUCUUCCGCAAUGGAUCGAAAGUCUGACGGAGCAACGCCGCGUGAGUGAUGAAGGCUUUCGGGUCGUAAAACUCUUGUUGUUAGGGAAGAACAAGUACAAGAGUAACUGCUUGUACCUUGACGGUACCUAACCAGAGGAAGCCACGGCUAACUACGUGCCAGCAGCCGCGGUAAUACGUAGGUGGCAAGCGUUAUCCGGAAUUAUUGGGCGUAAAGCGCGCGCAGGCGGUUUCUUAAGUCUGAUGUGAAAGCCCACGGCUCAACCGUGGAGGGUCAUUGGAAACUGGGGAACUUGAGUGCAGAAGAGCUAAAAAGCGGAAUUCCACGUGUAGCGGUGAAAUGCGUAGAGAUGUGGAGGAACACCAGUGGCGAAUGCGGCUUUUUGGUCUGUAACUGACGCU
RNAcentral lists this ribosomal RNA (596 nucleotides) under Priestia megaterium. Its description in RNAcentral is "bacterial SSU rRNA". It matches the Rfam family "Bacterial small subunit ribosomal RNA", at positions 173 to 747 of the family's 1533-position model. Lineage: Bacteria; Bacillati; Bacillota; Bacilli; Caryophanales; Bacillaceae. The record is from RNAcentral.